Molecule: ribosomal RNA, 1398 nt
Filed under: uncultured bacterium
Lineage: Bacteria
Description: bacterial SSU rRNA
Rfam family: Bacterial small subunit ribosomal RNA
Source: RNAcentral
AGAGUUUGAUCCUGGCUCAGAUUGAACGCUGGCGGCAGGCCUAACACAUGCAAGUCGAGCGGUAGCACAGAGAGCUUGCUCUCGGGUGACGAGCGGCGGACGGGUGAGUAAUGUCUGGGAAACUGCCUGAUGGAGGGGGAUAACUACUGGAAACGGUAGCUAAUACCGCAUAAUGUCGCAAGACCAAAGUGGGGGACCUUCGGGCCUCAUGCCAUCAGAUGUGCCCAGAUGGGAUUAGCUAGUAGGUGGGGUAACGGCUCACCUAGGCGACGAUCCCUAGCUGGUCUGAGAGGAUGACCAGCCACACUGGAACUGAGACACGGUCCAGACUCCUACGGGAGGCAGCAGUGGGGAAUAUUGCACAAUGGGCGCAAGCCUGAUGCAGCCAUGCCGCGUGUGUGAAGAAGGCCUUCGGGUUGUAAAGCACUUUCAGCGGGGAGGAAGGCGGUGAGGUUAAUAACCUCAUCGAUUGACGUUACCCGCAGAAGAAGCACCGGCUAACUCCGUGCCAGCAGCCGCGGUAAUACGGAGGGUGCAAGCGUUAAUCGGAAUUACUGGGCGUAAAGCGCACGCAGGCGGUCUGUCAAGUCGGAUGUGAAAUCCCCGGGCUCAACCUGGGAACUGCAUUCGAAACUGGCAGGCUAGAGUCUUGUAGAGGGGGGUAGAAUUCCAGGUGUAGCGGUGAAAUGCGUAGAGAUCUGGAGGAAUACCGGUGGCGAAGGCGGCCCCCUGGACAAAGACUGACGCUCAGGUGCGAAAGCGUGGGGAGCAAACAGGAUUAGAUACCCUGGUAGUCCACGCCGUAAACGAUGUCGAUUUGGAGGUUGUGCCCUUGAGGCGUGGCUUCCGGAGCUAACGCGUUAAAUCGACCGCCUGGGGAGUACGGCCGCAAGGUUAAAACUCAAAUGAAUUGACGGGGGCCCGCACAAGCGGUGGAGCAUGUGGUUUAAUUCGAUGCAACGCGAAGAACCUUACCUGGUCUUGACAUCCACAGAACUUAGCAGAGAUGCUUUGGUGCCUUCGGGAACUGUGAGACAGGUGCUGCAUGGCUGUCGUCAGCUCGUGUUGUGAAAUGUUGGGUUAAGUCCCGCAACGAGUGCAACCCUUAUCCUUUGUUGCCAGCGGUUCGGCCGGGAACUCAAAGGAGACUGCCAGUGAUAAACUGGAGGAAGGUGGGGAUGACGUCAGGUCAUCAUGGCCCUUACGACCAGGGCUACACACGUGCUACAAUGGCAUAUACAAAGAGAAGCGACCUCGCGAGAGCAAGCGGACCUCAUAAAGUAUGUCGUAGUCCGGAUUGGAGUCUGCAACUCGACUCCAUGAAGUCGGAAUCGCUAGUAAUCGUAGAUCAGAAUGCUACGGUGAAUACGUUCCCGGGCCUUGCACACACCGCCCGUC